RNAcentral lists this unclassified non-coding RNA (391 nucleotides) under soil metagenome. RNAcentral describes it as "partial contains 5.8S ribosomal RNA, internal transcribed spacer 2, and large subunit ribosomal RNA". The stretch from base 1 to 122 matches the Rfam family "5.8S ribosomal RNA", at positions 35 to 154 of the family's 154-position model. The record is from RNAcentral.
GAUGAAGAACGUAGCGAAAUGCGAUACUUGGUGUGAAUUGCAGAAUCCCGUGAACCAUCGAGUCUUUGAACGCAAGUUGCGCCCGAAGCCAUUAGGCCGAGGGCACGCCUGCCUGGGCGUCACACGUCGUUGCCCCCCCAUCUAAUCCUUCGGGAUUGCGGGGGGCGGAUGAUGGCCUCCCGUGCGCCUCGUCGCGCGGUUGGCAUAAAUGCCAAGUCCUCGGCGACGCACGCCACGACAAUCGGUGGUUGCGAAACCUCGGUUGCCCGUUGUGUGCGGUCGUCGCGCAUCGAGGGCUCGAAAAAAUUGCCGGGCUCCGGCUUGACUUUCAACGCGACCCCAGGUCAGGCGGGGUUACCCGCUGAAUUUAAGCAUAUCAAUAAGCGGAGGA